Molecule: long non-coding RNA, 1998 nt
Filed under: Salmo salar (Atlantic salmon)
Lineage: Eukaryota; Metazoa; Chordata; Actinopteri; Salmoniformes; Salmonidae
Description: lncRNA (ENSSSAG00000114480.1)
Source: RNAcentral
AUCCAAAGGAAAGGCAAAGAGGGGAUACCUAGUCAGCUGUCCAACUGAAUGUAUUCAACUGAAAUGUGUCUUCCACAUUUAACCCAAACCCUCUGAAUCAGAGAGGUGCUGCCUUAAUCGACAUCCACGUCUUCGGCGCCCGGGGAACAGUGGGUUAACUGCCUUGCUCAAGGGGCAGAAUAUCCAGCCACCCCUCCCUCCGUCUAUCCAUCCAUUCCGUCUCCCCCCCUCAAUCCGCACCUCCAUCUGUUCUGAUUGAAGCGAUAGUAAGAGGCAGUGUGUACGCCACAACGGUUGACUGCGUCUGACAUAUAACGUCCUUUCACUCAUGAAAAGAGCACCAGCUAAUGGAACACGGCUCUGUUUCACGGAAGGAUCCAGAAGGUUUCUAGAGAAGUCAGGUAAUGGCUGUUUCCCCCAUGCAGACAGACCUAGACUGGCCUGAAAAUGGCCCCCUACUUACUGUGAGAGCCCUGGUCAACAGUAGUGCACUAUAUAGGGAAUAGGGUGCUAUUCUGGUCAACAGUAGUGCACUAUAUAGGGAAUAGGGUGCUAUUCUGGUCAACAGUAGUGCACUAUAUAUAGGGAAUAGGGUGCCAUUCUGGUCAACAGUAGUGCACUAUAUAUAGGGAAUAGGGUGCCAUUCUGGUCAACAGUAGUGUACUAUAUAGGGAAUAGGGUGCCAGCCUGGUCAAUAGUAGUGUACUAUAUAGGGAAUAGGGUGCCAGCCUGGUCAACAGUAGUGUACUAUAUAGGGAAUAGGGUGCCAGCCUGGUCAACAGUAGUGUACUAUAUAGGGAAUAGGGUGCCAGCCUGGUCAACAGUAGUGUACUAUAUAGGGAAUAGGGUGCUGCCAUUUAGGGCGCAGAACCUACUUCCUGUCAACAGAAGGAAGGGGAAGAAUCAAACUGGGCUCCGUGUCAUCCUGCUAAAGAGGUAACCCUGUCAAAAUCUCCCACGUUGUGUUGUCAGGUUGAAGAACAACAUAUGUUACAUUAUAAUUCCACUAGAGUACAUUUUUUUCCGCUGCAGCGAUGUAUUGGGUAGAGGAUAAUAUGUUGUCAGGCUCCUUACUGUUCUGUACAGUAGCCUGAUAGAUAUAGCUGUUCUACCACAGGGUCAGACAGAGGUCAGCGUCAGCCUGAAGGCUGUGCUGUAUUGGGCAUCAAAUAGACAUCUCACUACUCUCCUUUCUCUCCUCCAUCAAAAUCAAUACUUCCAAGUUCUCUCUGUCUACAAGGGUAGUUGUGUUAUGUCAGGGAGUUGAACUACUGUGUGAAAGUGUGAAAGUACAAUGUUUAAUAAAAAAAUUAAAAAAUUAAAAAAUAAAAACAUCUAUACUUCAACUAUCUGUGUCUACAAGACAAAAGGAACGUUCUUGUAAUGUUAAAAGAGUUUAAAUAACCUGUGAAAGUCCAUGAGGGUUUAAUUAUUCAGGAAAUGAAUUUUAAUUUGAAAAAUGAACUGAUCCCAAGCCUGUUUAAGACAGAUGGUUCUGUAGGUGGAAGACCAGUGGUGAAUUGAAAAGGCCUCCCAGUACCCACAACCUCCAAGACAUAAUAUUCACAUGGUGUUGUUGGCUGUAUGACCUUACGGCUUUAAACUUCUCAAACCCAUUACAGAACAGAGCUCUACUUCUCUGUUUUUAAUAUCCUCUCUUCCUCUAUCCCUGUUUCCCCUUUAUUGAUUUUACAGAUAUCAAAGUUAAUGAGUUUCUCCCUAUAAGUAAAGACCCAGUUUAAAGCGCUAUAGUGUAUAGCCAUCGCUGAACAGCGUUGGUCUCCCUGUUGUCUCUACAAUAUCUAUCCCCCUGCUGCCCAGUCUGCUUUACAAAUGCCUCCCUAUAGGACAGGUCAAUAGAAGUGCACUAUACAGGGGAAAGGGUGCCAUUUGGGACAUACCCUUGGCCUUCCUUCUAAAGUCCCUGGUCCUCCUGCUCCUCUCAGCUCUAGAGGUUUAGAGAGAGGUGUUGUCAUGGUAAAGUCCCUGGUCCUCCUG